GGNGCUCUCCCNUAUGGUCGACCUGCAGGCGGCCGCGAAUUCACUAGUGAUUAGAGUUUGAUCCUGGCUCAGGAUGAACGCUGGCGGCGUGCCUAACACAUGCAAGUCGAACGAAGCAAUUUAACGGAAGUUUUCGGAUGGAAGUUGAAUUGACUGAGUGGCGGACGGGUGAGUAACGCGUGGGUAACCUGCCUUGUACUGGGGGACAACAGUUAGAAAUGACUGCUAAUACCGCAUAAGCGCACAGUAUCGCAUGAUACAGUGUGAAAAACUCCGGUGGUACAAGAUGGACCCGCGUCUGAUUAGCUAGUUGGUAAGGUAACGGCUUACCAAGGCGACGAUCAGUAGCCGACCUGAGAGGGUGACCGGCCACAUUGGGACUGAGACACGGCCCAAACUCCUACGGGAGGCAGCAGUGGGGAAUAUUGCACAAUGGGCGAAAGCCUGAUGCAGCGACGCCGCGUGAGUGAAGAAGUAUUUCGGUAUGUAAAGCUCUAUCAGCAGGGAAGAAAAUGACGGUACCUGACUAAGAAGCCCCGGCUAACUACGUGCCAGCAGCCGCGGUAAUACGUAGGGGGCAAGCGUUAUCCGGAUUUACUGGGUGUAAAGGGAGCGUAGACGGUAAAGCAAGUCUGAAGUGAAAGCCCGCGGCUCAACUGCGGGACUGCUUUGGAAACUGUUUAACUGGAGUGUCGGAGAGGUAAGUGGAAUUCCUAGUGUAGCGGUGAAAUGCGUANAUAUUANNAGGAACACCAGUGGCGAAGGCGACUUACUGGACGAUAACUGACGUUGANGCUCGAAAGCGUGGGGAGCAAACAGGANUAGAUACCCUNNNANUCCACGCCGUAAACGAUGAAUACUAGGUGUUGGGGAGCAANNCUCUUC
Molecule: ribosomal RNA, 885 nt
Filed under: uncultured Clostridiales Family XIV bacterium
Lineage: Bacteria; Bacillati; Bacillota; Clostridia; Eubacteriales; Clostridiales Family XIV. Incertae Sedis
Description: bacterial SSU rRNA
Rfam family: Bacterial small subunit ribosomal RNA
Source: RNAcentral